GACGAACGCUGGCGGCGUGCUUAACACUUGCAAGUCGAACGGAAAGGCCCUGCUUUUGUGGGGUGCUCGAGUGGCGAACGGGUGAGUAACACGUGAGUAACCUGCCCUUGACUUUGGGAUAACUUCAGGAAACUGGGGCUAAUACCGGAUAGGAGCUCCUGCUGCAUGGUGGGGGUUGGAAAGUUUCGGCGGUUGGGGAUGGACUCGCGGCUUAUCAGCUUGUUGGUGGGGUAGUGGCUUACCAAGGCUUUGACGGGUAGCCGGCCUGAGAGGGUGACCGGCCACAUUGGGACUGAGAUACGGCCCCGACUCCUACGGGAGGCAGCAGUGGGGAAUAUUGCACAAUGGGCGGAAGCCUGAUGCAGCAACGCCGCGUGCGGGAUGACGGCCUUCGGGUUGUAAACCGCUUUCGCCUGUGACGAAGCGUGAGUGACGGUAAUGGGUAAAGAAGCACCGGCUAACUACGUG
RNAcentral lists this ribosomal RNA (468 nucleotides) under uncultured bacterium. Its description in RNAcentral is "partial 16S ribosomal RNA". It matches the Rfam family "Bacterial small subunit ribosomal RNA", at positions 28 to 507 of the family's 1533-position model. The record is from RNAcentral.